RNAcentral lists this transfer RNA (65 nucleotides) under Operophtera brumata (winter moth). It matches the Rfam family "tRNA". From Rfam's summary of the family: Transfer RNA (tRNA) molecules are approximately 80 nucleotides in length. Their secondary structure includes four short double-helical elements and three loops (D, anti-codon, and T loops). Lineage: Eukaryota; Metazoa; Arthropoda; Insecta; Lepidoptera; Geometridae. The record is from Rfam by way of RNAcentral.
CGUUCUAUGGCCAAACUGGUCAAGGCAUCGAGGCCGAGAUCCGGGUUCGAGUCCCGCUGGAACGG